GAGUUUGAUCAUGGCUCAGAUUGAACGCUGGCGGCAUGCCUUACACACGCAAGUCGAACGGCAGCAUGAUCUAGCUUGCUAGAUUGAUGGCGAGUGGCGAACGGGUGAGUAAUACAUCGGAACGUGCCCUGUAGUGGGGAUAACUAGUCGAAAGAUUAGCUAAUACCGCAUACGACCUGAGGGUGAAAGUGGGGGACCGCAAGGCCUCAUGCUAUAGGAGCGGCCGAUGUCUGAUUAGCUAGUUGGUGGGGUAAAGGCCCGACCAAGGCGACGAUCAGUAGCUGGUCUGAGAGGACGAUCAGCCACACUGGGACUGAGACACGGCCCAGACUCCUACGGGAGGCAGCAGUGGGGAAUUUUGGACAAUGGGCGAAAGCCUGAUCCAGCAAUGCCGCGUGUGUGAAGAAGGCCUUC
RNAcentral lists this ribosomal RNA (414 nucleotides) under uncultured microorganism. RNAcentral describes it as "bacterial SSU rRNA". It matches the Rfam family "Bacterial small subunit ribosomal RNA", at positions 9 to 419 of the family's 1533-position model. The record is from RNAcentral.